Molecule: long non-coding RNA, 1232 nt
Filed under: Arabidopsis lyrata
Lineage: Eukaryota; Viridiplantae; Streptophyta; Magnoliopsida; Brassicales; Brassicaceae
Description: long non-coding RNA (ALYR_LNC001140)
Source: RNAcentral
CUAUAAUGAAGAUGUUGAAAACCAGAGCAAACUCAACUAUUGGGAUCUCCAACAAAGCUCCGAUCGUACAUGUAUGCGACACUCAUAGACGAAACCACUGCUUACAGUCGAAGUAACAUUUUAUCAGAUUCAUAGACAACGACUUUAAGUGUAAGUAGAUGGGAUGUAACGUAUGUUGUUUCCUGUGGAAAGCAUUUGCACACAUUUUAUGAAGGAUGAAAUCACAUGUCAUAUAUGAAUAAAAAUUACUCUCAUGGACACAUGCUUGAAAAAACACUUUUUAUAGGUGUUUUCAUCAUAAAUUUUAUGACGUUAACAAGUUUUUUCAAGCAGUACAAUGUCCUAUCUAAGGUAAUUACUAUUCAUGUAUGGAAUGUGAUUUCAUGCUACAUGAAACAUGUACAAAUGCUCCUCGCAGAAAACAACAUGCGUUACAUCCCCAUAUAUCGACUUAUACUUAAAGUCGUUGUAAAUGGAUAUGAUGAUUGAAAAAGAUUACUUCCACUGCAAACCUUGUUAUUGCGAUUCCAAUCACGAGUACUAUCACAUAAAGGAUAUUGUCACUUCCGACUAGAUUUACGGUGUGCUUGGUUACCGAGGCUAUGAGCAAUCAUUUAUUCCUAGCUUUAUACCCAAGAGCGCCACGAUGCCAUGUCUGAAAAUAGAUAAGUACUAUCAUUAGUUACUAAGAUCGAAUGUGAAUUUCUUGAAACAUUACAAACAUUUUUCAUACAAACUAGUUUUCCCUACACGCAACCAUAAAUUUGCUCUAGAUCUUGUGAGUGUAAGAGUUAAAGUCAUUGGAGAUCAAACCUGGACUAUCGAUGUGAAGAAUCUCCCCGCUUGGCGAUGUGGAAGUAUCGAGUCACCGGUUAUUUCUUCACGAUUUGAUUUGUGCAUUAGGACAUGAAAAAAGAGUGUAUAAAGUAAACAAGAUGGACUUCUUGGCUAAUUUUUCACAUCUUGAAGAUUUGGAUAGUUGUGAAUCUUGUGAUAAUGUUCUUCUCCUUCUUUCUCUUUACUUACUUUUAUACUAUACCUAACAAAACUCAACGUGGCUUUGCACAUGGUUGUCUUCUUAUGAUAUGAAAUACAUUAAUGUUUUCUGAUCUUGGAUCUAGAUACAGUUCGUUUGGUGACAGCCUGUUUAUAUUAAAAAAGAAAGGGACCAUUAAUUACUACAUUGUUUUCCCGUCUCGAAUCUUAUUAUGUCGGUAAGUCUUGUUUUCCAA